This 454-nucleotide ribosomal RNA is filed under the name uncultured bacterium. RNAcentral's name for it is "bacterial SSU rRNA". It matches the Rfam family "Bacterial small subunit ribosomal RNA", at positions 340 to 786 of the family's 1533-position model. The record is from RNAcentral.
UACGGGAGGCAGCAGUGGGGAAUAUUGCACAAUGGGCGCAAGCCUGAUGCAGCCAUGCCGCGUGUAUGAAGAAGGCCUUCGGGUUGUAAAGUACUUUCAGUCGUGAGGAAGGUGUUAAGGUUAAUAACCUUAGCAAUUGACGUUAGCGACAGAAGAAGCACCGGCUAACUCCGUGCCAGCAGCCGCGGUAAUACGGAGGGUGCGAGCGUUAAUCGGAAUUACUGGGCGUAAAGGGCACGCAGGCGGUUAAUUAAGUUGGAUGUGAAAUCCCCGGGCUUAACCUGGGAAUGGCAUUCAAGACUGGUUAGCUAGAGUCUUGUAGGAGGGGGUAGAAUUCCAUGUGUAGCGGUGAAAUGCGUAGAGAUGUGGAGGAAUACCGGUGGCGAAGGCGGCCCCUGGACAAAGACUGACGCUCAUGUGCGAAAGCGUGGGGAGCAAACGAGGAUUAGAUACC